RNAcentral lists this unclassified non-coding RNA (149 nucleotides) under soil metagenome. RNAcentral describes it as "partial internal transcribed spacer 1". The record is from RNAcentral.
CCGAGUUUACAACUCCCAAACCCCUGUGAACAUACCUAUAUGUUGCCUCGGCGGAUCAGCCCGCGCCCCGUAAAACGGGACGGCCCGCCGCAGGAUCCACAAACUCUGUUUUUAUUGUAACUUCUGAGUAAUUCUUAACUAAUAAGUCA